CGGCCUUGCAUCUUCACAUCCCGAUUCACAGAAACCACUCGCAGCCAAUCUCUCGUUCUCCCACUACUAACCCUAGCCGCCGCCUGCUGCUUGCCUCGAUGCGCGCCGCACGCCCCUGUACGAAGACCGGUGCCCGAGCGGCGGCCCUGGCCGGUGAAGACCGGCGCCUGAGUGGCGGCCUUGGCAGGUGAAGACGGGCGCCGCUAGCGGCGGCCCUGAGCCCCUGACCGUGAAGACUGUCGCCCUGCGCCGCCACCAACCCCAAUCUCCCAUCGGUCGCUCCACCGCCUACGACGCGGCCGUCCGCCGCAGAUGCUCCACCUCCUGACGACCAGUACAACCACUGCAGUUCGUCACUACUCACCACUACCCGUCCUCUUCCACACGGUUCGUCCGCCGUCGGUGCUCCACCUCCCGACGACCUGCCCACUUUCGGUUCUCCACAUCGCAGCUGAAGAUGUUUUCUGAACAUGAUGAGGAACUGAAUGAGAAUGAAGAUGCAUUUAUGAGUGUAGAGGUAGAUGUAGGAGCAGCAGCUGCAGAAGCAGGAGACGAAUCCGUCUUACAUAGUAGUAUUAUUGACGAUGAAGUUGCCGAACAAACAGUUGUCGAAGGUGCCAAUCUAGAAGCUGCUCAAGAUGGCAAGCCAAUUGAAGCUGAAUCAUGAAUCUUCUUACUUUGUGUCAUAUGAAUCUUGUUACUUGCUCUUGAAUGUAAACAUGUACUGGUACUUUGUUACUUGCUGUUGCAUAUAAACAUGUAUUGGUACUUUCUGCUCUCAAAUAUAAACAUGUAUUGGUACUGGAAGUAA
Triticum dicoccoides is the source of this 811-nucleotide long non-coding RNA. RefSeq lists it as uncharacterized. The record is from RefSeq and is a predicted model, not a curated record. Lineage: Eukaryota; Viridiplantae; Streptophyta; Magnoliopsida; Poales; Poaceae. The transcript has 2 exons.